CGGGUAAGAAAGUUGUGAAAGCAACCUGACGGUACCAGAGGAAUCAGCAUCGGCUAACUCCGUGCCAGCAGCCGCGGUAAGACGGAGGAUGCAAGCGUUAUCCGGAAUGAUUGGGCGUAAAGCGUCCGCAGGUGGCAGUUCAAGUCUGCUGUCAAAGACCGGGGCUUAACUUCGGAAAGGCAGUGGAAACUGAACAGCUAGAGUAUGGUAGGGGCAGAGGGAAUUCCUGGUGUAGCGGUGAAAUGCGUAGAGAUCAGGAAGAACAUCGGUGGCGAAGGCGCUCUGCUGGACCAUAACUGACACUCAGGGACGAAAGCUAGGGGAGCGAAUGGGAUUAGAUACCCCAGUAGUCCUAGCCGUAAACGAUGGAUACUAGGUGUUGUCUGUAUCGACCCGGACAGUGCCGUAGCUAACGCGUUAAGUAUCCCGCCUGGGGAGUACGCACGCAAGUGUGAAACUCAAAAGGAAUUGACGGGGGCCCGCACAAGCGGUGGAGUAUGUGGUUUAAUUCGAUACAACGCGAAGAACCUUACCAGGGUCGACGCGGCCG
RNAcentral lists this ribosomal RNA (550 nucleotides) under uncultured bacterium. Its description in RNAcentral is "bacterial SSU rRNA". It matches the Rfam family "Bacterial small subunit ribosomal RNA", at positions 440 to 992 of the family's 1533-position model. The record is from RNAcentral.